GAGAGGGGCCAGGUAUCAAACCUGUGUUCUUAUGGAUACUAGUUGGGUUUGUUUCCACUGUACCACAAUGGGAACUCCAGAAUUUUCAGUUUCUUAAUCUCAAGAGAAAAGUUAUAAAAUUCUAGAGCUUGUCGUAAAUAUUAAAUCAGAACACAUAUGUUACUCUCUCAUGGUGCUGAGUUAAUCAAAAUUAAUAGCUGUUUCUUCUAACCUGUAGGCCAGUGUACACCUCCAACUGCUAUCUUAUAACACACACACACAUACUCAGGCACAUGCAUACACACACACACACACACACACAGACAACUCUAGAAUUGGGUAUCCCUGAGUAAUCAGGCAUGCUUCUCUGUCUCCCUUUGCCCUCAUUCUGUUGACAGUGAUUUUUAUACAGCUGCUCUAUGCCAGUCACGUGGGUGCCAAGAACAUAAAGAUGGAGAAAAGAACCACGACACCAAGGGACAGAGAAGAGAAAAAAAUGUAAGUUGCAUUUAUCAAGCUUCUUGUUCUCACCCCUUCCCCAAGCCCACCUGCAUUCUUGACUUUGGGAGGCACUGUAGUACUUGAUUCUUCCCAUAAGGUGACUUCUGGAUUCUGUUUGAAAGCCAAAGCCACCUGCUCUCUUCCCUCCAUCUGGAACAUACAUUUCCCAACUUUUUGCACUGCUGGCUCUUUCUUUAACUCAUCUUUUAAAAUGUUGUCUUUCAAAUUUCCCUUUGUGGCUUAGUGGGUUAUAAACCCAACUACUAUCCAUGAGGAUGUGGGUUCAAUCCCUGGCCUCACUCAGUGGGUUAAGGAUUGGGCAUUGCCCUUAGCUGUGGUGUAGGUCAUAGAUGUGGCUUGGAUCUGGCGUUGCUGUGGCUGUGGCCUGCAGCUGCAGCUCCAAUUCAACCCCUAGCCUGGGAACUUCCAUAUUCCACAGGUGUGGCCGUAAAAAGCAAAAUUAAAUUAAAUUAAAUUAAGUCUUAUCUUUCAUCCACCGUCUACAUGGAAUUAUUGGAACACUUUUAAGGAUGUAACACUAUUAAGUGAAUAACUAAAUGAAAAGAAACCUAAUACUGUUUCUGAUCCUCAUUUUCCCCAACUGUGAAAUGGAAAAACAGAAGGGUAUUUUCACAAGGUGACUGUGGAGAUGGAAGCAAAAUAGGGAGAGGAGGGUUCCUGGUACACAGGGUCCACUGGGUGUAUGGUAGCCACUCUGGGCAGUGGUGGUGCAACUGUAGCUUCAGCAUCUCCGAUAAUGGGCAUGUGAUUUCCACCUCAGGUUGUCCCAUUUCUAUGUUUUGACUCAAAAACCCCAGUGAGGCAGGACUAUGGAAAAGGAUACAUCUGAAAUUAGAUUUGCCACUACGAUUCCCAAAUCAGAAUCCAUUUUCAUGUAAUGUGUCUCUCUGCCAUGAGCGGU
This 1402-nucleotide long non-coding RNA is filed under the name Sus scrofa (pig). RNAcentral's name for it is "lncRNA (ENSSSCG00045035042.1)". The record is from RNAcentral. Lineage: Eukaryota; Metazoa; Chordata; Mammalia; Artiodactyla; Suidae.